This 254-nucleotide ribosomal RNA is filed under the name uncultured bacterium. RNAcentral's name for it is "partial 16S ribosomal RNA". It matches the Rfam family "Bacterial small subunit ribosomal RNA", at positions 524 to 775 of the family's 1533-position model. The record is from RNAcentral.
UACGAAGGGGGGCUAGCGUUGCUCGGAAUCACUGGGCGUAAAGGGUGCGUAGGCGGGUCUUUUAAGUCAGGGGUGAAAUCCUGGAGCUCAACUCCAGAACUGCCUUUGAUACUGAGGAUCUUGAGUUCGGGAGAGGUGAGUGGAACUGCGAGUGUAGAGGUGAAAUUCGUAGAUAUUCGCAAGAACACCAGUGGCGAAGGCGGCUCACUGGCCCGAUACUGACGCUGAGGCACGAAAGCGUGGGGAGCAAACAG